Molecule: unclassified non-coding RNA, 513 nt
Filed under: uncultured Glomus
Lineage: Eukaryota; Fungi; Glomeromycota; Glomeromycetes; Glomerales; Glomeraceae
Description: SSU rRNA
Rfam family: Eukaryotic small subunit ribosomal RNA
Source: RNAcentral
AGCAGCCGCGGUAAUUCCAGCUCCAAUAGCGUAUAUUAAAGUUGUUGCAGUUAAAAAGCUCGUAGUUGAAUUUCGGGAUUAAUAUGUUGGUCGUGCCUUGGUACGUACUGGCAUUAUUGAUUCCUACCUUCUGAAGAACCUCGAUGUCAUUAAUUUGGUGUCUUGGGGAAUCAGGACCGUUACUUUGAAAAAAAUUAGAGUGUUUAAAGCAGGCUCGCGCUUGAAUACAUUAGCAUGGAAUAAUGAAAUAGGACGUUUGAUUCUAUUUUGUUGGUUUCUAGGAUCGACGUAAUGAUUAAUAGGGAUAGUUGGGGGCAUUAGUAUUCAAUUGUCAGAGGUGAAAUUCUUGGAUUUAUUGAAGACUGACUACUGCGAAAGCAUUUGCCAAGGAUGUUUUCAUUAAUCAAGAACGAAAGUUAGGGGAUCGAAGACGAUCAGAUACCGUCGUAGUCUUAACCAUAAACUAUGCCGACUAGGGAUCGGAUGAUGUUAAUUUUUUAAUGACUCAUUCGG